UAGGGAAGGCAGCAGGGGGAAUAUUGCACAAUGGGCGCAAGCCUGAUGCAGCCAUGCCGCGUGUAUGAAGAAGGCCUUCGGGUUGUAAAGUACUUUCAGUCGUGAGGAAGGUGUUAAGGUUAAUAACCUUAGCAAUUGACGUUAGCGACAGAAGAAGCACCGGCUAACUCCGUGCCAGCAGCCGCGGUAAUACGGAGGGUGCGAGCGUUAAUCGGAAUUACUGGGCGUAAAGGGCACGCAGGCGGUUAAUUAAGUUGGAUGUGAAAUCCCCGGGCUUAACCUGGGAAUGGCAUUCAAGCUGGUUAGCUAGAGUCUUGUAGAGGGGGUAGAAUUCCAUGUGUAGCGGUGAAAUGCGUAGAGAUGUGGAGGAAUACCGGUGGCGAAGGCGGCCCCUGGACAAAGGACUGACGCUCAUGUGCGAAAGCGUGGGGAGCAAAC
This 438-nucleotide ribosomal RNA is filed under the name uncultured bacterium. RNAcentral describes it as "bacterial SSU rRNA". It matches the Rfam family "Bacterial small subunit ribosomal RNA", at positions 340 to 773 of the family's 1533-position model. The record is from RNAcentral.